GGGUUGUGAGGUUAAGCGACUAAGCGUACACGGUGGAUGCCCUGGCAGUCAGAGGCGAUGAAGGACGUGCUAAUCUGCGAUAAGCGUCGGUAAGGUGAUAUGAACCGUUAUAACCGGCGAUUUCCGAAUGGGGAAACCCAGUGUGAUUCGUCACACUAUCAUUAACUGAAUCCAUAGGUUAAUGAGGCGAACCGGGGGAACUGAAACAUCUAAGUACCCCGAGGAAAAGAAAUCAACCGAGAUUCCCCCAGUAGCGGCGAGCGAACGGGGAGCAGCCCAGAGCCUGAAUCAGUGUGUGUGUUAGUGGAAGCGUCUGGAAAGGCGCGCGAUACAGGGUGACAGCCCCGUACACAAAAAUGCACAUACUGUGAGCUCGAUGAGUAGGGCGGGACACGUGGUAUCCUGUCUGAAUAUGGGGGGAC
Molecule: ribosomal RNA, 422 nt
Filed under: Escherichia coli
Lineage: Bacteria; Pseudomonadati; Pseudomonadota; Gammaproteobacteria; Enterobacterales; Enterobacteriaceae
Description: partial 23S ribosomal RNA
Rfam family: Bacterial large subunit ribosomal RNA
Source: RNAcentral